Molecule: ribosomal RNA, 445 nt
Filed under: uncultured bacterium
Lineage: Bacteria
Description: partial 16S ribosomal RNA
Rfam family: Bacterial small subunit ribosomal RNA
Source: RNAcentral
GUGAGGAAUAUUGGACAAUGGGCGCAAGCCUGAUCCAGCCAUGCCGCGUGCAGGAAGACGCAUCUAUGGUGAGUAAACUGCUUUUGUACGGGAAGAAACACUCCCUCGUGAGGGAGCUUGACGGUACCGUAAGAAUAAGGAUCGGCUAACUCCGUGCCAGCAGCCGCGGUAAUACGGAGGAUCCAAGCGUUAUCCGGAAUCAUUGGGUUUAAAGGGUCCGUAGGCGGUUUAAUAAGUCAGUGGUGAAAGCCCAUCGCUCAACGAUGGAACGGCCAUUGAUACUGUUAGACUUGAAUUACAAGGAAGUAACUAGAAUAUGUAGUGUAGCGGUGAAAUGCUUAGAUAUUACAUGGAAUACCAAUUGCGAAGGCAGGUUACUACUUGUGGAUUGACGCUGAUGGACGAAAGCGUGGGGAGCGAACAGGAUUAGAAACCCCUGUAGUCC